This is a long non-coding RNA of Diachasma alloeum, 1845 nucleotides long. RefSeq lists it as uncharacterized. The record is from RefSeq and is a predicted model, not a curated record. The transcript has 3 exons. NCBI's taxonomy places the organism in Eukaryota, Metazoa, Arthropoda, Insecta, Hymenoptera, Braconidae.
AUUAUUCAGCUCUAUCCAUCGCCAUUAAUUAAAAAUUGAUUCAUUGAUAAAUUUUUUACUUUUCGAUAUUCUUAAAUCGGUUCCCACCUUAAAAAAAAUUCUGAAUCCAUUGAAUAAUGGCUUAACAAAUUUUUUCCGAUGUUCUUUUCACCGAAUUCGAAGAUAAAGCAACAAUCGUUAUUUUGAUUUAUCAUGAAAAUUUGCGAAAAUUUUAUAUUUUUCGAAUAUAUUCCUGCAGACAUAUUUGGAUAUUAUUCUUAAAAUUAAUUCAACCAUAGGUAAAAACGUUUGUUUCAAUGCCACGAAAUCGAAGUUGAAAGAUAGUUACGAUAGCUAUCUCCGUUAAUUUGAUUUUUAUGAUGAUUUUUGAAAAUUUCUAAUAUUUCAUGAAUUUUCCUGAAAGUGAGCUAUCUAAUGGUUUCUUCAAAUGUGAUAUUGCAAAUUCGUUCAAUUACAUAUAACUACAAAUUUUUUAUUUUUAUUUUUUCGAUUUUUAAAAUGAUAUAGAUGUCAUUCUUUUAUUUGAUGUAUACCAGAUCUUCGGAAAUUAUUCUGUUAGCAUUCGAAACGUUGUCGGUUUUCCAUUAUUGCGGAAAAAUUCAACUAAGUCGAAAAUCUGCCACAAUUUGUUAAAAACAUUAUUAACUUUAAUAAAAUUAAAUAAACUAUAAAUUAUAUAGGGUAGAUAGAAAUGACAUACAAUAUGAGCACUCGGCAGCAUAUUGCUAAUUUAUUAACAAAAAUAACUAUGCCAUAUGCAAUAUAUUAAUAAUUUAACACUUAUUUUCGGUUUAAAUCGAAAGGAAUUAAAUUCUAGAUUGAUUGAUUUCAAAAUUGAUUUUUCAUCCGCCUCGCCAUUUUACAAUAUUGAACACUUGUUAUGUACUAUUUUAAUGUUACACUACUCAGAAUAAUAAUUUUGAUAUGGUAUGAAAAAAGUAAAAAAAACAGUAAACCGAUAAAACAUAAUUUUUCUAUGUAAUCUAACGAACGUUUUGAAAAAAAAAGCGUGAAUCGGAUGAAAGUUAUGGUGUAAGGAGCAUUUCAAAGCCAAAUCACGAAAACCAACCCUUUCGCCUGACGUAAGAGGUAAAAUGGACUGGGUAUGAAAUUUUUUUUAGUUUUUAUGUACCUCAUGAUAUGUCAAAAGUCGCUCAAUAUUUAUUUUCGUCAACCGAAGACUUUCAAAUUUCACCUGGGUCCCCCCUUAAGAAUAUUGAGGUUAUGGAUGCAUAAUUUGACAUAUGUGCUUCUCUAUUUGUUUAUUCUUCCAUUUUUAGUAAUGAUGAGAGCCGUCCAUCAGACUUCAGUGACAACUGGAAUAAAUUUAAAGAUUGCGCUCAAAUUUGCCGCGCGCGGAGGGAUACAUGACAUGCCGUCGUGGAUAGUGGUGGGGAGUCUUCGGCAAAAACCCGAUGUUCCUUCUUUCCUGGCGAGAACUAUAUAGGUAAUCGUCGUCGACUUAAGAGGCCAAAAAUCAAAGGACCAAAUUGCUACUGCUUGUCCUUCAUUGUAUCUUCUUCCUCUUCUGAAUGAAGGGAAAUAAAGCAUCACUUCACUACUCAAAUAAACAAAUAUCGAGCUCCAAUAAUCUAAUUACACAUAAGUGUCGAGCAAAAUACGAUCUUGAGGAUGGUAAUGUGGGAAGUGUAGCGAUAAAAAUGUGAAAAUUUCGACUUCAGUGAGAAAAUAUGCAAUACUCUUGGCAAAACCUGUGAAGAGAUGAAAAUAUUAAUAUCGAUAAUUCGAUAAAACUGUUAUGAGAAAAGCCAAAGUAUUAUAAUUCAUCUACAGAAUUAUAUGAAAAAAAAAAAAUUCAAGUGAAUGAUUAAAAUUAAAACAUGA